Molecule: long non-coding RNA, 302 nt
Organism: Condylostylus longicornis
Lineage: Eukaryota; Metazoa; Arthropoda; Insecta; Diptera; Dolichopodidae
Exons: 3
Source: RefSeq, a predicted model, not a curated record
GGAAUUUUAGUUUUAGUAAUUUUUUUUUUUCGUUUCUUUUUUUUUGCCAUUUUAUAAAUUUAUUGUGAAUAAACAAAAGCUUAAUUGAAAUGCUGUUAUAACAAAAUCAUCAUUGAAUUCUCUACACUUCACGACGAUUUAAAGGAACUUUACUAUGUAACAUGUAGAUAUAUAUUUAUUACAUUUGUAACCUUUAUUUUUUAAUUCUUUUGUUAUUUGUGUGUUUAAAAAAAAAUUUUGAAAAACAAUCUAAAUACUUUUUAAUAUCAACUUUUUAAAGAAAUUGAUAACUUACUUUUAAA